AUUGCAAACUCCGAAUACCAGAAAGUAUGAGCGCGGCAGACACACUGCGGGUGCUAACGUCCGUCGUGGAAAGGGAAACAACCCAGACCGUCAGCUAAGGUCCCAAAGUUAUAGUUAAGUGGGAAACGAUGUGAAAAGGCCCAGACAGCCAGGAGGUUGGCUUAGAAGCAGCCAUUCCUUUAAAGAGUGCGUAGUAGCUCACUGGUCGAGUCGGUUUGCGCGGAAGAUUUAACGGGGCUAAACUAUAUACCGAAGCUGCGGAUCGCAAUUUAUUGCGAUGGUAGGAGAGCGUUCUGUAAGCCGUUGAAGGUGAACUGUGAGGUUUGCUGGAGGUAUCAGAAGUGCGAAUGCUGACAUGAGUAACGAUAAAGGGGGUGAAAAACCCCCUCGCCAGAAGUCCAAGGUUUCCUACGCAACGUUAAUCGGCGUAGGGUUAGUCGGCCCCUAAGGCGAGGCAGAAAUGCGUAGUCGAUGGGAAACGGGUUAAUAUUCCCGUACUUCAUAUAACUGCGAUGGGAAGACGGAGUAGGUUAGCUCAGCAAGGCGAUGGUUGUCCUUGUUCAAGCGUGUAGAAAUGGUUCUUAGGAAAAUCCGGGAACCUCUAUUUCAAGGCGUGAUAACGAGCCCUCUUUUGGGCGAAGUGAGUGAGACCAUGCUUCCAGGAAAAUCCUCUAAGCUUCAGGUUAUAUGAAACCGUACCCCAAACCGACACAGGUGGACGAGAUGAGAAUUCUAAGGCGCUUGAGAGAACUCGGGUGAAGGAACUAGGCAAAAUGACACCGUAACUUCGGGAGAAGGUGUGCUCUUGUUAUGUGAUAUCACUUGCUGAUUGAGCAAAGAAGAGCUGAAAAAACUAGGUGGCUGCGACUGUUUAUUAAAAACACAGCACUCUGCAAACACGUAAGUGGACGUAUAGGGUGUGACUCCUGCCCGGUGCUUGAAGGUUAAUUGAUGAGGUUAGCGCUUGCGCGAAGCUUUUGAUCGAAGCCCAAGUAAACGGCGGCCGUAACUAUAACGGUCCUAAGGUAGCGAAAUUCCUUGUCGGGUAAGUUCCGACCUGCACGAAUGGCGUAACGACGGCCACACUGUCUCCACCCGAGACUCAGUGAAAUUG
RNAcentral lists this ribosomal RNA (1114 nucleotides) under marine metagenome. RNAcentral's name for it is "bacterial LSU rRNA". It matches the Rfam family "Bacterial large subunit ribosomal RNA", at positions 946 to 2044 of the family's 2925-position model. The record is from RNAcentral.